GACGAACGCUGGCGGCGUGCUUAACACAUGCCAGUCGAACGGAAAGGCCCUGCUUUUGUGGGGUGCUCGAGUGGCGAACGGGUGAGUAACACGUGAGUAACCUGCCCUUGACUUUGGGAUAACUUCAGGAAACUGGGGCUAAUACCGGAUAGGAGCUCCUGCUGCAUGGUGGGGGUUGGAAAGUUUCGGCGGUUGGGGAUGGACUCGCGGCUUAUCAGCUUGUUGGUGGGGUAGUGGAUUACCAAGGCUUUGACGGGUAGCCGGCCUGAGAGGGUGACCGGCCACAUUGGGACUGAGAUACGGCCCAGACUCCUACGGGAGGCAGCAGUGGGGAAGAUUGCACAAUGGGCGGAAGCCUGAUGCAGCAACGCCGCGUGCGGGAUGACGGCCUUCGGGUUGUAAACCGCUUUCGCCUGUGACGAAGCGUGAGUGACGGUAAUGGGUAAAGAAGCACCGGCUAACUACGUG
RNAcentral lists this ribosomal RNA (468 nucleotides) under uncultured bacterium. Its description in RNAcentral is "partial 16S ribosomal RNA". It matches the Rfam family "Bacterial small subunit ribosomal RNA", at positions 28 to 507 of the family's 1533-position model. The record is from RNAcentral.